GACGAACGCUGGCGGCGUGCUUAACACAUGCAAGUCGAACGGACAGGCCCUGCUGUUGUGGGGUGCUCGAGUGGCGAACGGAUGAGUAACAAGUGAGUAACCUGCCCUCGCAUUUGGGCUAACUUCAGGACACUGGGGAUAGUAACGGAUAGGAGCUCCUGCUGCAUGGGGGGGGUGGGAAGGUUUCGGCGGUUGGGGAUGGACUCGCGGCUUAUCAGCUGGUGGGUGGGGUAGUGGUUUACCAAGGCUUUGACUGAUAGCCGGCCUGAGAGGGUGACCGGCGCCCUUGGGCCUGAGAGACGGCCCAGUCUCCUACGGGCCGCAGCGGUGGGGAGUAUUGCGGAAUGGGGGGACGCCUGAUGCGGCGGCGCCCCGGGCGUGAUGACGGCUUUCGGGUUGUAAACCGCUUUCGCCUGUGCCGAAGCGUGAGUGACGGUAACUGGUAAGGAAGCCCCGGCUAACUACGUG
This 468-nucleotide ribosomal RNA is filed under the name uncultured bacterium. Its description in RNAcentral is "partial 16S ribosomal RNA". It matches the Rfam family "Bacterial small subunit ribosomal RNA", at positions 28 to 507 of the family's 1533-position model. The record is from RNAcentral.